CUUAAACACAUCAUCAGACAGUACAAUUUCCGGCCUUUUCCAUUUUGUUCCAUUUUCAGGAGCUGAGCAUGAUGAACGAGAAGUCGGAAGUGAGUCAGCAGGAUAGCACUUAGAGCCUAAAAAAGCAAGCAGGACAUCAGAAUGCAUAAGCAGGAAUAUAAUGUGCAGGAAGUGGGAGGUGAUCUUCCCUUUCUUCCAAGAACUGGCUCACCCCAUAAGUUGUCUGCAGAGACUUUGCAGAACUUGGACCAGGCCCAGGAAGAUUAAAGGACUACAAAAGGAGCAACUCAUAUUCAACAGUGCUGGGUGCUCAACACCUGUUCUCUCAUGUGAUCAAUCAUCAAUAUGUCCCAUUUUGCAAAUGAAGAAACAGACUCAGGAAGGCAAGCCUUGUGGUGGCACUCCAGCAGUUUUCCACAGGGAAAUCCUCUUCUGGGUCAAGGCUGCAUCAUGGGAGCCUUUGAGCUCUUGCUUCUGUCUCCUCGCAGGACCCUGA
This 496-nucleotide long non-coding RNA is filed under the name Macaca mulatta (Rhesus monkey). RNAcentral describes it as "lncRNA (ENSMMUG00000051341.1)". Lineage: Eukaryota; Metazoa; Chordata; Mammalia; Primates; Cercopithecidae. The record is from RNAcentral.